GAUGAACGCUGGCGGCGUGCCUAAUACAUGCAAGUAGAACGCUGAAGGAGGAGCUUGCUCUUCUGGAUGAGUUGCGAACGGGUGAGUAACGCGUAGGUAACCUGCCUGGUAGCGGGGGAUAACUAUUGGAAACGAUAGCUAAUACCGCAUGACAACAGUUAUUGCAUGAUAACUGUUUAAAAGGGGCAACUGCUCCACUACCAGAUGGACCUGCGUUGUAUUAGCUAGUUGGUGAGGUAACGGCUCACCAAGGCGACGAUACAUAGCCGACCUGAGAGGGGGUUCGGCCACACUGGGACUGAGACACGGCCCAGACUCCUACGGGAGGCAGCAGUAGGGAAUCUUCGGCGAUGGACGGAAGUCUGAACGAGCAACGCCGCGUGAGUGCAGAAGGUUUUCGGAUCGUAAAGCUCUGUUGUAAGAGAAGAACGAGUGUGAGAGUGGAAAGUUCACACUGUGACGGUAUCUUACCAGAAAGGGACGGCUAACUACGUG
Molecule: ribosomal RNA, 495 nt
Filed under: uncultured bacterium
Lineage: Bacteria
Description: partial 16S ribosomal RNA
Rfam family: Bacterial small subunit ribosomal RNA
Source: RNAcentral